Molecule: ribosomal RNA, 490 nt
Filed under: Anopsobius giribeti
Lineage: Eukaryota; Metazoa; Arthropoda; Chilopoda; Lithobiomorpha; Henicopidae
Description: partial 16S ribosomal RNA
Rfam family: Bacterial large subunit ribosomal RNA
Source: RNAcentral
CGCUUUUUGGGUUAUAUAAAAAGUAAAACCUGCCCAAUGAGAAAUUUAAAUGGCCGCGGUAAUUUGACCGUGCGAAGGUAGCAUAAUCAUUAGUCUAUUAAUUGUGGACUGGAAUGAAUGGUUUAAAUGAAUGAAGACUGUCUCUUAAAUAAAAUUAAAUUUUAAUUUUUUGUGAAGAUGCAAAGAUGAAAUUAAAAGACGAGAAGACCCUAUUAAGCUUUAUAAAUUUUUUACUUAAAAAGAUUUAUAGUAAGAGUUUUAUUUUGUUGGGGCGACAGUAAAGAUAAGUAACCUUUAUAAGAAAGAUAAAUUUAAUAGAUUUUUGAUCCAUAAUAUAUGAUUAUAAGAACAAGUUACUAUAGGGAUAACAGCGUAAUUUUAUCGGAGAGUUCAUAUUGAUGAUAAAGAUUGCGACCUCGAUGUUGAAUUAGGAGACCUAAAAGGUGCAGCUGUUUUUUAAGGUAGACUGUUCGUCUAUAAAACUCCUACA